GAACGUACGCUGGCGGCACGCCUAACACAUGCAAGUCGAACGAAGUAGCAAUACUUAGUGGCAGACGGGUGAGUAACAUGUAGGUAUCUGCCCUUUGGCCUGGAAUAACACGAGGAAACUUGUGCUAAUACCGGAUAAGUCUUUACGGAGAAAGCUUUAUGCACCAUUGGAUGAGCCUGCACUUGAUUAGUUUGUUGGUGGGGUAAUGGCCUACCAAGACUGUGAUCAAUAGCUGAUUUGAGAGGAUGAUCAGCCACAUUGGGACUGAGACACGGCCCAAACUCCUACGGGAGGCAGCAGUGGGGAAUCUUGCACAAUGGAGGAAACUCUGAUGCAGCGAUGCCGCGUGAGUGAAGAAGGCCUUUGGGUUGUAAAGCUCUUUCGUCGGGGAAGAAAAUGACUGUACCCGAAUAAGAAGGUCCGGCUAACUUCGUGCCAGCAGCCGCGGUAAUACGAAGGGACCUAGCGUAGUUCGGAAUUACUGGGCUUAAAGAGUUCGUAGGUGGUUGAAAAAGUUAGUGGUGAAAUCCCAGAGCUUAACUCUGGAACUGCCAUUAAAACUUUUCAGCUAGAGUAUGAUAGAGGAAAGCAGAAUUUCUAGUGUAGAGGUGAAAUUCGUAGAUAUUAGAAAGAAUACCAAUUGCGAAGGGCAGCUUUCUGGAUCAUUACUGACACUGAGGAACGAAAGCAUGGGUAGCGAAGAGGAUUAGAUACCCUCGUAGUCCAUGCCGUAAACGAUGUGUGUUAGACGUUGGAAAUUUAUUUUCAGUGUCGCAGCGAAAGCGAUAAACACACCGCCUGGGGAGUACGACCGCAAGGUUAAAACUCAAAUGAAUUGACGGGGACCCGCACAAGUAGUGGAGCAUGUGGUUUAAUUCGAAGAUACGCGCAGAACCUUACCAACACUUGACAUGUUCGUCGCGACUCUAAGAGAUUAGAGUUUUCGGUUCGGCCGGACGAAACACAGGUGCUGCAUGGCUGUCGUCAGCUCGUGUCGUGAGAUGUUGGGUUAAGUCCCGCAACGAGCGCAACCCUCACUUUUAGUUGCCAUCAUUAAGUUGGGCACUCUGAAAGAACUGCCAGUGAUAAGCUGGAGGAAGGUGGGGAUGACGUCAAGUCCUCAUGGCCCUUACGUGUUGGGCUACACACGUGCUACAAUGGUAUCUACAACAGGAAGCAAGACUGCGAAGUUAAGCAAAUCCCUAAAAGAUACCUCAGUUCGGAUUGCACUCUGCAACUCGAGUGCAUGAAGCUGGAAUUACUAGUAAUCGUGGAUCAGCGUGCCACGGUGAAUGCGUUCCCGGGUCUUGUACUCACCGCC
This 1321-nucleotide ribosomal RNA is filed under the name uncultured Alphaproteobacteria bacterium. RNAcentral's name for it is "bacterial SSU rRNA". It matches the Rfam family "Bacterial small subunit ribosomal RNA", at positions 27 to 1394 of the family's 1533-position model. Lineage: Bacteria; Pseudomonadati; Pseudomonadota; Alphaproteobacteria. The record is from RNAcentral.